Molecule: long non-coding RNA, 1058 nt
Filed under: Homo sapiens (human)
Lineage: Eukaryota; Metazoa; Chordata; Mammalia; Primates; Hominidae
Description: TTN antisense RNA 1
Source: RNAcentral
CUCUGUGACUGGCUUGCUUGAUGGUUAGGGUCUGAUCGCUGCCUGAGACACCAUAUCGGUACUCCUCAGAGUUGGUGAUCACAGGAUCUGGUUUGCCACUGAAAGGAAUCUUGAUGCUGACCACUUCACCUCGGAGAGCAUGAACUGCUCCCAUGCCUUCAAGAGUUUUAGAAUUUUAUGCAAAGAUGGAACUUUACCAUAGGAAGAUACAGAAAUCAAGUUGUACUCACCAAAUGGACUCUUAAUGAUCACAACUGAGGACACUUCUAGAGGGUCACUGAUGCCGAAAGUGUUCUGAGCUGAAACCCGGAAGUAAUAGCCAGCAUUUUCUGUGAGGUUCACAAUUCUACAGGUUGUCACUGAGAUGGCUGAAGACACCAAUUGCCAUUCAGCCCCCUCCUUGGCCUCACAUUUUUCCACCACAUAGUUGGUGAUCCAGGAGCCUCCGUCAUCUGCGGGUGGUUUCCAGCUGAUCACUGCGGAGUUCUUCAAUAGAGCUUCGAUCACAAUUGGUCCUGUAGGAUGGCAUCAACUGUUCCAAAAACAUUGCUGAGCUGGACUUUGUAUUUCCCAGCAUGAGUCUUACGUUGGACAUUCUUCAUGACAAGAUGAGUAUAGUGCUCAGUGUUUUCAAUAGUAAUGUUUUCUGAGUUUUGCAAAAGUUUCUGACCAUGGAACCAAGUCAUGGCAGGUACUGGACGACCAAUGUACAUAACAUGAAGCCGAAGUGUGGAACCCACAGCUCCAUAAUAUUUCUCUUUCAGUGGGUAACCAGGAUGGAACUGCGGUGUUGCUUGCAGGAGAAGCUUACUACUGGUUUCUACUUCUCCAACCUCAUUGGUGGCUAUGCAGGCACUGUCUCCAGACUGUCUAUAUUCAACCCAGUAUCCAAGAAUUUCUUUACCACCAUCACAUUCAGGUUUCUCCCACUGUAGAGUGACACUAUCUUUGGAUAUUGAAAGAAUCUCAAGUUCUCCUGGUUGGCUUGGUUUAUCUGAAAUAUUUUAAAAUAAUGAAAAGGGAGUCAGCUUUACUGGUGAAAUAAAAGGACCAAACAU